This 2926-nucleotide ribosomal RNA is filed under the name Escherichia coli. Its description in RNAcentral is "23S ribosomal RNA". It matches the Rfam family "Bacterial large subunit ribosomal RNA". Lineage: Bacteria; Pseudomonadati; Pseudomonadota; Gammaproteobacteria; Enterobacterales; Enterobacteriaceae. The record is from RNAcentral.
GGGUUGUGAGGUUAAGCGACUAAGCGUACACGGUGGAUGCCCUGGCAGUCAGAGGCGAUGAAGGACGUGCUAAUCUGCGAUAAGCGUCGGUAAGGUGAUAUGAACCGUUAUAACCGGCGAUUUCCGAAUGGGGAAACCCAGUGUGAUUCGUCACACUAUCAUUAACUGAAUCCAUAGGUUAAUGAGGCGAACCGGGGGAACUGAAACAUCUAAGUACCCCGAGGAAAAGAAAUCAACCGAGAUUCCCCCAGUAGCGGCGAGCGAACGGGGAGGAGCCCAGAGCCUGAAUCAGUGUGUGUGUUAGUGGAAGCGUCUGGAAAGGCGCGCGAUACAGGGUGACAGCCCCGUACACAAAAAUGCACAUGCUGUGAGCUCGAUGAGUAGGGCGGGACACGUGGUAUCCUGUCUGAAUAUGGGGGGACCAUCCUCCAAGGCUAAAUACUCCUGACUGACCGAUAGUGAACCAGUACCGUGAGGGAAAGGCGAAAAGAACCCCGGCGAGGGGAGUGAAAAAGAACCUGAAACCGUGUACGUACAAGCAGUGGGAGCCUCUUUAUGGGGUGACUGCGUACCUUUUGUAUAAUGGGUCAGCGACUUAUAUUCUGUAGCAAGGUUAACCGAAUAGGGGAGCCGAAGGGAAACCGAGUCUUAACUGGGCGUUAAGUUGCAGGGUAUAGACCCGAAACCCGGUGAUCUAGCCAUGGGCAGGUUGAAGGUUGGGUAACACUAACUGGAGGACCGAACCGACUAAUGUUGAAAAAUUAGCGGAUGACUUGUGGCUGGGGGUGAAAGGCCAAUCAAACCGGGAGAUAGCUGGUUCUCCCCGAAAGCUAUUUAGGUAGCGCCUCGUGAAUUCAUCUCCGGGGGUAGAGCACUGUUUCGGCAAGGGGGUCAUCCCGACUUACCAACCCGAUGCAAACUGCGAAUACCGGAGAAUGUUAUCACGGGAGACACACGGCGGGUGCUAACGUCCGUCGUGAAGAGGGAAACAACCCAGACCGCCAGCUAAGGUCCCAAAGUCAUGGUUAAGUGGGAAACGAUGUGGGAAGGCCCAGACAGCCAGGAUGUUGGCUUAGAAGCAGCCAUCAUUUAAAGAAAGCGUAAUAGCUCACUGGUCGAGUCGGCCUGCGCGGAAGAUGUAACGGGGCUAAACCAUGCACCGAAGCUGCGGCAGCGACGCUUAUGCGUUGUUGGGUAGGGGAGCGUUCUGUAAGCCUGCGAAGGUGUACUGUGAGGUAUGCUGGAGGUAUCAGAAGUGCGAAUGCUGACAUAAGUAACGAUAAAGCGGGUGAAAAGCCCGCUCGCCGGAAGACCAAGGGUUCCUGUCCAACGUUAAUCGGGGCAGGGUGAGUCGACCCCUAAGGCGAGGCCGAAAGGCGUAGUCGAUGGGAAACAGGUUAAUAUUCCUGUACUUGGUGUUACUGCGAAGGGGGGACGGAGAAGGCUAUGUUGGCCGGGCGACGGUUGUCCCGGUUUAAGCGUGUAGGCUGGUUUUCCAGGCAAAUCCGGAAAAUCAAGGCUGAGGCGUGAUGACGAGGCACUACGGUGCUGAAGCAACAAAUGCCCUGCUUCCAGGAAAAGCCUCUAAGCAUCAGGUAACAUCAAAUCGUACCCCAAACCGACACAGGUGGUCAGGUAGAGAAUACCAAGGCGCUUGAGAGAACUCGGGUGAAGGAACUAGGCAAAAUGGUGCCGUAACUUCGGGAGAAGGCACGCUGAUACGUAGGUGAAGUCCCUCGCGGAUGGAGCUGAAAUCAGUCGAAGAUACCAGCUGGCUGCAACUGUUUAUUAAAAACACAGCACUGUGCAAACACGAAAGUGGACGUAUACGGUGUGACGCCUGCCCGGUGCCGGAAGGUUAAUUGAUGGGGUUAGCGGUAACGCGAAGCUCUUGAUCGAAGCCCCGGUAAACGGCGGCCGUAACUAUAACGGUCCUAAGGUAGCGAAAUUCCUUGUCGGGUAAGUUCCGACCUGCACGAAUGGCGUAAUGAUGGCCAGGCUGUCUCCACCCGAGACUCAGUGAAAUUGAACUCGCUGUGAAGAUGCAGUGUACCCGCGGCAAGACGGAAAGACCCCGUGAACCUUUACUAUAGCUUGACACUGAACAUUGAGCCUUGAUGUGUAGGAUAGGUGGGAGGCUUUGAAGUGUGGACGCCAGUCUGCAUGGAGCCGACCUUGAAAUACCACCCUUUAAUGUUUGAUGUUCUAACGUUGGCCCCUAAUCGGGGUUGCGGACAGUGUCUGGUGGGUAGUUUGACUGGGGCGGUCUCCUCCUAAAGAGUAACGGAGGAGCACGAAGGUUGGCUAAUCCUGGUCGGACAUCAGGAGGUUAGUGCAAUGGCAUAAGCCAGCUUGACUGCGAGCGUGACGGCGCGAGCAGGUGCGAAAGCAGGUCAUAGUGAUCCGGUGGUUCUGAAUGGAAGGGCCAUCGCUCAACGGAUAAAAGGUACUCCGGGGAUAACAGGCUGAUACCGCCCAAGAGUUCAUAUCGACGGCGGUGUUUGGCACCUCGAUGUCGGCUCAUCACAUCCUGGGGCUGAAGUAGGUCCCAAGGGUAUGGCUGUUCGCCAUUUAAAGUGGUACGCGAGCUGGGUUUAGAACGUCGUGAGACAGUUCGGUCCCUAUCUGCCGUGGGCGCUGGAGAACUGAGGGGGGCUGCUCCUAGUACGAGAGGACCGGAGUGGACGCAUCACUGGUGUUCGGGUUGUCAUGCCAAUGGCACUGCCCGGUAGCUAAAUGCGGAAGAGAUAAGUGCUGAAAGCAUCUAAGCACGAAACUUGCCCCGAGAUGAGUUCUCCCUGACUCCUUGAGAGUCCUGAAGGAACGUUGAAGACGACGACGUUGAUAGGCCGGGUGUGUAAGCGCAGCGAUGCGUUGAGCUAACCGGUACUAAUGAACCGUGAGGCUUAACCUUACAACGCCGAAG